RNAcentral lists this ribosomal RNA (207 nucleotides) under Triticum aestivum (bread wheat). Its description in RNAcentral is "partial small subunit ribosomal RNA". Lineage: Eukaryota; Viridiplantae; Streptophyta; Magnoliopsida; Poales; Poaceae. The record is from RNAcentral.
AUGAACCCGCAGGGCCUGGACAGACUCAAUGGUGCCCAUGUCGUUCUCAUCCUGAAAAUUGACGGCGCAACCACCAUGUCAGACUCCCGUCCGAUCAGCUUACUCCAUAGCGUUGCCAAGCUCUUCCUCAAGGUCCUUGCGACGCGCCUUGCUAAGCGCCUCCCCGAUCUAAUUUCUCCUGGGCAGAGUGCUUUCAUCGAAGGACGU